ACCCCACUAUGCCUGGCCGUAAACUUUAACUUACACCUUAAUCGUCAGGGAACUACGAGCAAAGCUUAAAACCCAAAGGACUUGACGGUGCCCCAUAUCCCCCUAGAGGAGCCUGUCCUAUAAUCGAUAAUCCCCGCUUAACCUCACCACAUCUAGCCUACCAGUCUGUAUACUUCCGUCGCAAGCCUACCACAUGAGCGAUACUUAGUUAGCCCAACGUCCACACAUAAAUGUGUCUACAUCGACAAUACGUCAGGUCAAAGUGCAGCAAACGAUGUGGGAUGAGAUUGGCUACACUUUUUAAUUUAAAAGAAACGGAAGGCAAUAAUGAAACUUUGUCAGAAGGUGGAUUUAGCAGUAAAAGGAAAAUAUAAAAUUUCUUUUAACUCGGCACUGGGGUGUGUACACACCGCCCGUCACCCUCUUCAAAAAUCUCAGACCAGUACUUAACCCACUACCAAAAAUAAAGAAGAGGCAAGUCGUAACAUGGUAAGCGUACCGGAAGGUGUGCUUGGAAA
This 518-nucleotide ribosomal RNA is filed under the name Eleutherodactylus jaumei. RNAcentral's name for it is "partial 12S ribosomal RNA". It matches the Rfam family "Bacterial small subunit ribosomal RNA", at positions 784 to 1522 of the family's 1533-position model. The record is from RNAcentral. Lineage: Eukaryota; Metazoa; Chordata; Amphibia; Anura; Eleutherodactylidae.